AGAGGCCCUCUGCGGCUGGGCGCGGAAUGCUUGCCUCAUUGCCGGGGCGACAAAGCAAGCAUUUCACCAGGCCGCUCACACUGCCCGC
Molecule: non-coding RNA, 88 nt
Organism: Myotis lucifugus (little brown bat)
Lineage: Eukaryota; Metazoa; Chordata; Mammalia; Chiroptera; Vespertilionidae
Source: Rfam